This 230-nucleotide ribosomal RNA is filed under the name uncultured bacterium. Its description in RNAcentral is "partial 16S ribosomal RNA". It matches the Rfam family "Bacterial small subunit ribosomal RNA", at positions 560 to 791 of the family's 1533-position model. The record is from RNAcentral.
GUAAAGCGCGCGUAGGUGGUUUGUUAAGUUGGAUGUGAAAUCCCCGGGCUCAACCUGGGAACUGCAUCAAAACUGGCAGCUAGAGUAUGGUAGAGGGUGGUGGAAUUUCCUGUGUAGCGGUGAAAUGCGUAGAUAUAGGAAGGAACACCAGUGGCGAAGGCGACCACCUGGACUGAUACUGACACUGAGGUGCGAAAGCGUGGGGAGCAAACAGGAUUAGAUACCCCAGU